Long non-coding RNA from Ictidomys tridecemlineatus (thirteen-lined ground squirrel), 665 nucleotides. RefSeq lists it as uncharacterized. The record is from RefSeq and is a predicted model, not a curated record. NCBI's taxonomy places the organism in Eukaryota, Metazoa, Chordata, Mammalia, Rodentia, Sciuridae.
UAUGUGCACAGUGACUCAAUAUCACCGAGGGAGGCCCAGGAACCAGCUCUGUUGACCACUCCAAGGCCAGCAGGUCCCUAUUCCUCAGCAGACACCUCCACGGAAGAAGCUGGGCUGGCAUAUCUCCUCUCCCAGGCCUGCACAGUGUUCCUGGAUCCAAGGAUGGCUGCAGGGGUGGAGGGCAUCUUCAGGCACCAUCACAGGAAAGCAUCAGGGAUGUAGAUGGGGUGAAGUGGACAAGGUGGGGGAGCCUUGUGGAGAAGGUGAACUCUCAGUCCCAUCUUGAAGGAGAAGACAUGGAUGCCAGCCUGUCUCUCCAGAGGCAUCUUUUUAACAUUUCAAACCACAGUGAGUGAUGGAAUGCAAUAAAGAUUAAUUACAACUGGGAAAUGGAUGCUGAAUGAAGGCAAAGAAGCCCCUCUGCAUCUUGGGCAAUAUUAGCAAUAAAUCUCAAGAUCACAGGGCUCAACAUUCAUUACUGAAUACAAAUGCCUACCAUCUCCUUCACCAGAAUGCAAAGACACCAAGACGCUGGGCUUUGCCUGACAGUCACCGUUGGAUGAAAAAUUAAGCCUGACAUUUCUCAAGCCUGGUUUCAUACUGAGAAAUUGUCACCACUGUGUCAACAGUUAUGGAAGUCUCAAAAUAAAGUUACCUUGCACAUA